UCAGCUCGUGCCGUGAGGUGUCGGGUUAAGUCCCAUAACGAGCGCAACCCUUAUCGUAGUUGCCAGCGGGUAAUGCCGGGAACUCUAGCGAAACUGCCGGUGUAAACCGUGAGGAAGGUGGGGAUGACGUCAAAUCAGCACGGCCCUUAUGUCCAGGGCUACACACGUGUUACAAUGGCCGGUACAGAGGGCAGCUACCUGGUGACAGGAUGCUAAUCUCGAAAACCGGUCUCAGUUCGGAUCGAAGUCUGCAACUCGACUUCGUGAAGCUGGAUUCGCUAGUAAUCGCGCAUCAGCUAUGGCGCGGUGAAUACGUUCCCGGGCCUU
This 327-nucleotide ribosomal RNA is filed under the name uncultured Sphingobacteriales bacterium. RNAcentral describes it as "bacterial SSU rRNA". It matches the Rfam family "Bacterial small subunit ribosomal RNA", at positions 1055 to 1382 of the family's 1533-position model. The record is from RNAcentral. Lineage: Bacteria; Pseudomonadati; Bacteroidota; Sphingobacteriia; Sphingobacteriales.